Molecule: ribosomal RNA, 1272 nt
Filed under: Rhodococcus rhodochrous J3
Lineage: Bacteria; Bacillati; Actinomycetota; Actinomycetes; Mycobacteriales; Nocardiaceae
Description: bacterial LSU rRNA
Rfam family: Bacterial large subunit ribosomal RNA
Source: RNAcentral
UAAGUGUUUAUGAGCGUACGGUGGAUGUCUUGGCACCAGGAGCCGAUGAAGGACGUGGGAGGCUGCGAUAUGCCUCGGGGAGCUGUCAACCGAGCUGUGAUCCGAGGAUUUCCGAAUGGGGAAACCCAGCACGAGUGAUGUCGUGUUACCCGCACCUGAAUAUAUAGGGUGUGUGGAGGGAACGUGGGGAAGUGAAACAUCUCAGUACCCACAGGAAGAGAAAACAACAUGUGAUUCCGUGAGUAGUGGCGAGCGAAAGCGGAUGAGGCUAAACCGAGUACAUGUGAUACCUGGCAGGGGUUGUGUAUUCGGGGUUGUGGGGUUCGUUGUGUCGGCGCUGCCAUGCCGGCCGACAGUAAGAAAUCGUCGUGUUAGUCGAAGUGGUCUGGAACGGCCUGUCGUAGAGGGUGAGAAUCCCGUAGACGAAAACACGGCGACUGUCGAUUCGAAUACCCGAGUAGCACCGGGCCCGUGAAAUCCGGUGUGAAUCUGUCGGGACCACCCGAUAAGCCUGAAUACUCCCUGGUGACCGAUAGCGGACUAGUACCGUGAGGGAAAGAUGAAAAGUACCCCGGGAGGGGAGUGAAAUAGUACCUGAAACCGUGCGCUUACAAUCCGUCAGAGCCUUCGAACACUUCGGUGUUGGGGGUGAUGGCGUGCCUUUUGAAGAAUGAGCCUGCGAGUUAGUGGCAUGUCGCGAGGUUAACCCGUGUGGGGUAGCCGUAGCGAAAGCGAGUCCGAAUAGGGCGCAUCUAGUGGCAUGUUCUAGACCCGAAGCGGAGUGAUCUACCCAUGGCCAGGGUGAAGCGACGGUAAGACGUCGUGGAGGCCCGAACCCACUUAGGUUGAAAACUGAGGGGAUGAGUUGUGGGUAGGGGUGAAAGGCCAAUCAAACUCCGUGAUAGCUGGUUCUCCCCGAAAUGCAUUUAGGUGCAGCGUCGCGUGUUUCUCACCGGAGGUAGAGCUACUGGAUGGUCUAGGGGGCCCACAAGCUUACCGAAAUCAGCCAAACUCCGAAUGCCGGUGAGUGAGAGCGCGGCAGUGAGACUGCGGGGGAUAAGCUUCGUAGUCGAGAGGGAAACAGCCCAGAUCGCCGGCUAAGGCCCCUAAGCGUGUACUAAGUGGAAAAGGAUGUGGGAUCGCUGAGACAACCAGGAGGUUGGCUUAGAAGCAGCCACCCUUGAAAGAGUGCGUAAUAGCUCACUGGUCAAGUGGUCCUGCGCCGACAAUGUAGCGGGGCUCAAGUACACCGCCGAAGCCGCGGCAUUCACA